CCUACGGGUGGCAGCAGUGAGGAAUAUUGGUCAAUGGACGAGAGUCUGAACCAGCCAAGUAGCGUGAAGGAUGACUGCCCUAUGGGUUGUAAACUUCUUUUAUAAAGGAAUAAAACGAGGCACGUGUGCCUUUUUGCAUGUACUCUAUGAAUAAGCAUCGGCUAACUCCGUGCCAGCAGCCGCGGUAAUACGGAGGAUCCGAGCGUUAUCCGGAUUUAUUGGGUUUAAAGGGUGCGUAGAUGGGUUGUUAAGUCAGUUGUGAAAGUUUGCGGCUCAACCGUAAAAUUGCAAUUGAUACUGGCAGUCUUGAGUACAGUUGAGGUAGGCGGAAUGCGUGGGGUAGCGGUGAAAUGCUUAGAUAUCACGAAGAACCCCGAUUGCGAAGGCAGCUUACUAAACUGUAACUGACGUUGAUGCUCGAAAGUGUGGGUAUCGAACAGGAUUAGAUACCCGUGUAGUC
RNAcentral lists this ribosomal RNA (460 nucleotides) under uncultured bacterium. Its description in RNAcentral is "partial 16S ribosomal RNA". It matches the Rfam family "Bacterial small subunit ribosomal RNA", at positions 338 to 795 of the family's 1533-position model. The record is from RNAcentral.